Molecule: ribosomal RNA, 266 nt
Filed under: uncultured Staphylococcus sp.
Lineage: Bacteria; Bacillati; Bacillota; Bacilli; Caryophanales; Staphylococcaceae
Description: partial 16S ribosomal RNA
Rfam family: Bacterial small subunit ribosomal RNA
Source: RNAcentral
CGGCGGACGGGUGAGUAACACGUGGAUAACCUACCUAUAAGACUGGGAUAACUUCGGGAAACCGGAGCUAAUACCGGAUAAUAUAUUGAACCGCAUGGUUCAAUAGUGAAAGACGGUUUUGCUGUCACUUAUAGAUGGAUCCGCGCCGCAUUAGCUAGUUGGUAAGGUAACGGCUUACCAAGGCAACGGUGCGUAGCCGACCUGAGAGGGUGAUCGGCCACACUGGAACUGAGACACGGUCCAGACUCCUACGGGAGGCAGCAGCC